GGCUCCGUAGCUCAGCUGGUUAGAACGUCAGUCUAAUAAACUGGAGGUCGAGGGUUCAACCCCUUCGGAGCCU
Molecule: non-coding RNA, 73 nt
Organism: Potamilus streckersoni
Lineage: Eukaryota; Metazoa; Mollusca; Bivalvia; Unionida; Unionidae
Source: the annotation of a GenBank genome assembly